GCACAAGCGGUGGAGCAUGUGGUUCAAUUCGACGCAACGCGAAGAACCUUACCUGGGCUCGAAGCGUAGUGGACUGAGGUAGAAAUAUCUCUUUCCCGCAAGGGACUGCUACGUAGGUGCUGCAUGGCUGUCGUCAGCUCGUGUCGUGAGAUGUUGGGUUAAGUCCCGCAACGAGCGCAACCCUUAUCUUCAGUUGCUACCAUUUAGUUGAGCACUCUGACGAAACCGCCUCGGAUAACGGGGAGGAAGGUGGGGAUGACGUCAAGUCCUCAUGGCCUUUAUGUCCAGGGCUACACACGUGCUACAAUGGCCGGUACAAACCGCUGCAAACCCGCGAGGGGGAGCUAAUCGGAAAAAGCCGGCCUCAGUUCGGAUUGGAGUCUGCAACUCGACUCCAUGAAGCUGGAAUCGCUAGUAAUCGUGGAUCAGCAUGCCACGGUGAAUACGUUCCCGGGC
This 456-nucleotide ribosomal RNA is filed under the name uncultured bacterium. Its description in RNAcentral is "bacterial SSU rRNA". It matches the Rfam family "Bacterial small subunit ribosomal RNA", at positions 923 to 1379 of the family's 1533-position model. The record is from RNAcentral.